AAUAGCCAAACGGCUGAACCAGCAACUUGGAAGAAUGUAAAACGAAUAAGUCGUAUAAAAUUCUAGAUAGAAAACUGAUAAUGACAAUUAUCUAUCUAAUAGUCUUGACCAAAUUACGUGCCAGCAGUCGCGGCAACACGUAGAAGACAAGUGUUAUUCAUCUUUAAUCGGUUUAAAGGGUACCUAGACGGUAAAUAAAGCCAAAUGGGGACUAAUUUUCUAGAGUUUUAUGGGAGAGAGUCGAAUAGCUGGAGUAGGGAUAAAAUCUUUUGAUACCAGAUAGACGGUUAACGGCGUAAGCUACUUUCUAUGUAAAAACUGACGUUGAGGGACGAAGCCCUGGGUAACGAGAAGGAUUAGAUACCCUAGUAGUCCAGGGAGACAAUUAUGAAUGUCAUAGGCUAGAAAAAAAAUUCUUUAUCAUUUAGUUGAAUUAUAAUGUUAUAAGAUAGAAAACAAGAAUAAAAAUUCUUUAUCGAAUAGUUGAAUUAUAUUUAGUUUAUAAAUGAAAGUGUAAGCAUUCCACCUUAAGACUAAAGCGGCAACGCCCAAAUUGAAAUCAUUAGACCGUUCCUGAAACCAGUAGUGAAGUAUGUUGUUUAAUUCGAUAAUCCGCGAAUAACCUUACCACGUCCUGAAUAUUAUUAAAUUAAUACUAGCGUUGCACGGCUGUCUUUAGUUAAUGUCGUGAGACUUGGUUAACUCCUUUAAUUAACGAAAACCCUUGUUUUAUUUAUAUAUAAAACAGUUCUCCGCUACAUAGGAUAAGAUAAUAGGGAUCAAGGCAAGUCAUCAUGGCCUAUAGUGACGU
Molecule: ribosomal RNA, 811 nt
Filed under: Wahlenbergiella striatula
Lineage: Eukaryota; Fungi; Ascomycota; Eurotiomycetes; Verrucariales; Verrucariaceae
Description: SSU rRNA
Rfam family: Bacterial small subunit ribosomal RNA
Source: RNAcentral